RNAcentral lists this ribosomal RNA (457 nucleotides) under uncultured Desulfocapsa sp. RNAcentral's name for it is "bacterial SSU rRNA". It matches the Rfam family "Bacterial small subunit ribosomal RNA", at positions 923 to 1382 of the family's 1533-position model. Lineage: Bacteria; Pseudomonadati; Thermodesulfobacteriota; Desulfobulbia; Desulfobulbales; Desulfocapsaceae. The record is from RNAcentral.
GCACAAGCGGUGGAGCAUGUGGUUUAAUUCGAUGCAACGCGAAAACCUUACCUGCCCUUGACAUGUCAGGAAUCUUUCAGAGAUGAGAGAGUGCCUUCGGGAACCUGAACACAGGUGCUGCAUGGCUGUCGUCAGCUCGUGUCGUGAGAUGUUGGGUUAAGUCCCGCAACGAGCGCAACCCUUGUCUUUAGUUGCCAUCAUUCAGUUGGGCACUCUAAAGAGACUGCCGGUGUCAAACCGGAGGAAGGUGGGGAUGACGUCAAGUCCUCAUGGCCUUUAUGACCAGGGCUACACACGUACUACAAUGGCCGGUACAAAGGGCAGCCACUUAGCGAUAAGGAGCCAAUCCCGUAAAGCCGGUCUCAGUCCGGAUUGGAGUCUGCAACUCGACUCCAUGAAGUUGGAAUCGCUAGUAAUCGCAGAUCAGCACGCUGCGGUGAAUACGUUCCCGGGCCUU